Dreissena polymorpha is the source of this 1792-nucleotide RNA transcript. RefSeq lists it as uncharacterized. Lineage: Eukaryota; Metazoa; Mollusca; Bivalvia; Myida; Dreissenidae. The record is from RefSeq and is a predicted model, not a curated record. The transcript is spliced from 7 exons.
UCCCUACACACCUGGGAACCCAGCGGAGGCGAGAUGCACGUGGUUCCGCGGAAAUACUUCAGAAAUUGGAUCUCAUAAAAAUCUUUCUGUGUCAAAUGUUCAGCUCCCAGGCGAAGGAUAUUAUAAAUGCAGCGUCAACAACACUAUGGACCCCCUACGGGAUGUACCGCUGAGGAGGGAUACGAUGAAACACACUUUUACGUGGAUGUACAAUAUCCUGCUAAUAUAAGAAGAUUUUACAUCAACGGGUCGAAUUUCGCAUCUAGUAGUAACCAUCAAUGAAAGUCAGACUGUUACACCACUCUGCGAAGCUGACAGCGAACCUUUAGCAAAUCUUGAACUCGUAAAUAUAACUAAGGGUGUUGAGCGCUUAUUAAUGGAAGUGAACAACAAAACAAUAUCCGCCCAUUUAUCAAAUGUGCGAUGUGAAUAUGAUAUGGGAGUCUACCAAUGUAAAGGAAAGAACAUCCAUAAUGCACUACAACAGGUUCGCGAACUGGAGAUCAGAAUAUUGUGUUCACCUAGACCAUCGACAUUUUCUCCACCGAUUCCCGUAGUUUAUAGAAGAAGAAGUGCAUCAGCUACUUUAACGUUCACGAUCGUGGCUUAUCCCCCUCCAAAUGACGUAUCAGCAUAUAUUUGGCGUAAGCAGGUAGAUGGUGAAUGGGUAACACUGCACAAUAACAGCAGGUUUCUAAUUCGCACAUCAAACGACAGUCUGCAGAAGAACCUUUCCAUAUCGCAACUAAAAAUUGACGAUUUUACAAACUAUUCGGUCCAUGUGAACAAUAACCUCGGAUCUACAGAGCAAUCAUUUGUCAUCCGAGCGAAUGAGCAGCCCAAUACGCCGCAACAACUUCUUGUCCUUGACGCCAUGGUGAAUGAAAGUUCCGUCACAGUUCAAUGGACACCUGGAUUUAAUGGGGUUGAAGACCAAUGGUUCGUGAUCGGUUACAAAAAGGCAGCAGAUUAAACAUGGACUUACAUUAACAUAUCUUCAACAGUCACUCAACUAAGCAUUGGUGAAUUAGUUGCGGGCACCAAGUAUGAAGUUAAAAUGCACGCAGAGAAUAUAUAAUUGGCAAAUCUGAAGAGACCACUGUAUUAAGUGUAACAACUAAAUCUGUAAUUUCAGGUAUGUUUUAAAGUUUUGCAUUUGAUAGUUUGCUCUGUUUAAAAUAUUAUCAAAUUACAUAUUUGAAAUUGUUGCGAUAAACACCUGGACGAUAAUCACACAUUUGCAUAUCGAAGAUGAUAUCGUGUCAGUAGGCUUCAUAUUUAACUUGUAUUUGCAGCAGGGACAUCGUACCCACAGCCAGAAAUGUCAUGAUUCUUACUUCAAAUAUAAAUAAUCAACCCCAUAAUUACACGGUACAAUUUUCAUGAGAUCAACGGUCUUCCUCAUCUGUUGGGGCUGCAGCGGGAGGUGCUGUAGGCGGAAUGCUCCUGGCAAUCAUCUUGGUGAUGCUCUGGAAAUACAGAAAAGCGUUUAAACGUCAACCUGGCGAAGGUGCUCAUUACGAUGACCUGUUCAAUAGACAAAUCACAGCACACAAACCAGUACGAGACAUUGGCUGAAACUUCUUUCCACGAGUAUUCGGUGUUAUCACCUGGCGGCAAACAGGAUUAUAGUGUAAAGAAUCGUGCAACUCAAGUUACUGAAACUGAUCGUGCUAUCGUGAAUCAGGAAAACGCCCAUGUUAAUUUGUUAUUUUCAGAAACAUAAAUAUCGUUUGAUUUUGUGAUCGGAGUGAUUACAUCAAUUUUUUUAUAGCGCACAUUAAAGUAUUCA